UACGGAGGUGGCAAGCGUUGUUCGGAAUUACUGGGCGUAAAGGGCGCGUAGGCGGCUUGGCAAGUCAGAUGUGAAAGCCCCGGGCUUAACCCGGGAAUUGCAUCUGAAACUGCUUUGCUUGAGUCCUGGAGGGGAUAGUGGAAUUCCCAGUGUAGCGGUGAAAUGCGUAGAUAUUGGGAGGAACACCUGCGGCGAAGGCGGCUAUCUGGACAGUGACUGACGCUGAUGCGCGAAAGCUAGGGGAGCGAACGGG
Molecule: ribosomal RNA, 253 nt
Filed under: uncultured bacterium
Lineage: Bacteria
Description: partial 16S ribosomal RNA
Rfam family: Bacterial small subunit ribosomal RNA
Source: RNAcentral